CAGUCGCCGCGGUAACACGUAGGUGGCAAGCGUUGUCCGGAAUUAUUGGGCGUAAAGGGCUCGCAGGCGGUUUCUUAAGUCUGAUGUGAAAGCCCCCGGCUCAACCGGGGAGGGUCAUUGGAAACUGGGAAACUUGAGUGCAGAAGAGGAGAGUGGAAUCCCACGUGUAGCGGUGAAAUGCGUAGAGAUGUGGAGGAACACCAGUGGCGAAGGCGACUCCCUGGUCUGUAACUGACGCUGAGGAGCGAAAGCGUGGGGAGCGAACAGGAUUAGAUACCCCUGUAGUCCCUGUCUCUUAUAC
RNAcentral lists this ribosomal RNA (301 nucleotides) under uncultured bacterium. RNAcentral's name for it is "partial 16S ribosomal RNA". It matches the Rfam family "Bacterial small subunit ribosomal RNA", at positions 509 to 807 of the family's 1533-position model. The record is from RNAcentral.